Long non-coding RNA from Acanthochromis polyacanthus (spiny chromis), 4880 nucleotides. RefSeq lists it as uncharacterized. The transcript has 3 exons. NCBI's taxonomy places the organism in Eukaryota, Metazoa, Chordata, Actinopteri, Pomacentridae. The record is from RefSeq and is a predicted model, not a curated record.
UCGCGCCGUUUUUUUCCUCCCUCGGUAAAACGCCAUCACCGAAACGACCGCUGGGAUCAUUUCUACUCGUUUUUCAGGACUUAAAGUGGGUCAGGACCGGCUCUGAUUACCAGAAUCCCCGAUGACAGAGUCCUGACAUCCUGACAUCUGGGUCACACCGAGCUGAGACCUCGUCGCCUGCUGCAGGUUGUUCACAGAUACAAGUCUGCCUGGUCAUAAGAGUCAAGUUUCAGCGAGCAGCCGGCCGCUGUGGGUUUUACUGGAGCUGUGAGGACGUUGGUGUGGUUUAACCUGAUCUGUCAGACAGUGAAGCCGGAUGUCGCAGAAACAUUUGCAUCUCUGCUCUGAGUUCAGUUUGACUCCUGGAGUGAACGUUUACUCAACGCUCCGCAAAUACACAACACCUGAAUGUGUCUGUGCAGUUUUUUGAUGUCGUUCAAACAGUAGUAGCUGAUGUUGACCUAAAAAGUGACAUAAGAAAGUGAAGUCCUCUUUAUAUUUACUGUUAGAAACUCUGCUUGUGUUUUGCAUGUACUCCUUACUGCUCUAAAUACUUUCGGGUUGUGAGCUUUUUAUGCUGCAUCUAGUCAAAUUAUCUGCAUGAAAGUAGAUCAGGAGCAAACACUCUGUUGGGUUUUUCUGCUUUGCACAUAAAAACCUAUGUAGAAAUGUCAAUAUUUAAUUUUAAGUGUGAAAAAAAAUGUUGAAAAUAACGCUCACUUUCUUUUUCUAGAUUUUAAAACACAAACAUUUAAAUAACUUCCACUUUACGUCAUGAUGCUGCCUCCACCAUGCUACCCGUCAUGAUGCUGCCACCACCAUGCUUCACAUCAUGAUGCUGCCACCACCAUGCUUCAUAUCAUGAUGCUGCCACCACCAUGCUUCACAUCAUGAUGCUGCCUCCACCAUGCUUCACAUCAUGAUGCUGCCACCACCAUGCUUCAUAUCAUGAUGCUGCCACCACCAUGCUUCAUAUCAUGAUGCUGCCACCACCGUGCUUCUCAUCAUGAUGCUGCCUCCACCAUGCUUCACAUCAUGAUGCUGCCACCACCAUGCUUCAUAUCAUGAUGCUGCCACCACCAUGCUUCACAUCAUGAUGCUGCCUCCACCAUGCUACCCGUCAUGAUGCUGCCUCCACCAUGCUUCACAUCAUGAUGCUGCCACCACGCUUCAUAUCAUGAUGCUGCCACCACCACCAUGCUUCACAUCAUGAUGCUGCCACCACCAUGCUUCACAUCAUGAUGCUGCCACCACCGUGCUUCACAUCAUGAUGCUGCCACCACCGUGCUUCACAUCAUGAUGCUGCCACCACCGUGCUUCACAUCAUGAUGCUGCCACCACCGUGCUUCAUAUCAUGAUGCUGCCACCACCAUGCUUCACAUCAUGAUGCUGCCACCACCAUGCUUCACAUCAUGAUGCUGCCACCACCAUGCUACCCGUCAUGAUGCUGCCUCCACCAUGCUUCACAUCAUGAUGCUGCCACCACCAUGCUUCAUAUCAUGAUGCUGCCACCACCGUGCUUCACAUCAUGAUGCUGCCACCACCGUGCUUCACAUCAUGAUGCUGCCUCCACCGUGCUUCAUAUCAUGAUGCUGCCACCACCGUGCUUCACACCAUGACGCUGCCACCACCGUGCUUCAUAUCAUGAUGCUGCCACCACCAUGCUUCACAUCAUGAUGCUGCCACCACCAUGCUUCAUGUCAUGCGACGAAUAUUGCAAAUAAAAUUCUAUUUUUUUGUUUUCUCAAAAUUUGGUGACAUUUUCAGUCACAUCUGAACACAACUUGAAUUGCUAUGAUCCAACUAGUCUUUGCCUUUAAAUUAUCUGCAUGAAAGUAAGUUCAGACCACCAUUCUGCUGUGUAAUUUCCCUUUGCACACAAAAACCCAAAUAGAAAUGUGAAAAAUGUUUAAUUUUAAAUCUAAAAAAUGCUAUAACAACGCUCACUUUCUUUUUAAAGUUUUUUGAGUCUGAAAUUAUCCAAAUUUUGAAUGAAGUCUGGUUGUGGUUGAUACUAGGCCGCUGGCUUUCAAUAUUUGACAGUUUGAGGCUUUAAUGGUGACAGAUACGUUUGAUUGAUAUAUGAUUUUGUUAAAUUCGACAAUUUAGUAGAUUCAAGUGUAGGAUUGUUCAGUUUCCAAAAAUCUAAUUUCAACUGAAUAAAAUCUUGUCUGAAAUUGGCCAAAUUUUGAAUGAAGUCUGGUAUUGUAUAUGUUUAUGUAGACGUAUGGAUUUGUUUUCCAAAAUUAGCCGUAUAUUUCACCUGAAUAGAAUCUAUUUAUAAAACUGAACCUACGAGAUAAUAAAUGGUGUGCAAAGUCCCACAUUCUUAUUUAUUUCCUCUCCAAAGAUUAAAAGUGUUGAAGUCUUUCAGCUUGUGCAACACCUGAGCUGGCAGGUAGCACGUCGGUCACUGCCAGAUUAAAAGCUUCAAAGAACAAUAGAGCAGCUCUGCGUUCUGAUGAUAUUACUCAGCAGAGGAGGAUUUUCUAGAUUUAAGUAUUCCAACAAACGUGGGCGCAACAGGAGUCUUUGUGACGUCUUUGCUUCCUCGUUGGAUCUGAAGUAACUUUUAAACAGCUCUGCGUUGUCGUCUUUGAUCUGGAUCCAAACCGAGACAUGAAAAGAACUGAACAGAUGUGAAUCAUUCAUUCAUUUUUACGAGUUUGUGUUGGGUUUAGGCAACAAGAUAUCAGCAAGACAGGAGGUUAGGAUCCAAAACUUAUUGUCAAAACAACGCUGGAAAAUCCCAAAACAUUGCAAAAAAGCAUAAAAAGUUUAAUGCGUUUUCUUUUUCCAAUUUUCUCAAACUCAUAUCUCAAAAGACUUAAAAUAUUGCAAAAAAUACAAAUUAAAACAUUUUACUCAAUGGUUUUAUAAGCUGCUGUACUUCGAUUUUCUUUAGUAGCUUUAUGUGUUUUUGUUUGUGUACAUCAUGAUGCUGCCACCACCAUGCUUCACAUCAUGAUGCUGCCUCCACCAUGCUUCACAUCAUGAUGCUGCCACCACCGUGCUUCACAUGACGAUGCUGCCUCCACCGUGCUUCACAUCAUGAUGCUGCCACCACCGUGCUUCAUAUCAUGAUGCUGCCACCACCAUGCUUCACUUCUAAUACAAAAUAAGGAGCUGUUUUUUGGUGUGUUGUUUGAAUCUUAAAAUAGUUCACGCUGGCUGAAUUAAUUUCCGUGUUUUCAGACUGAGAAUGGGCCGAUGACAUUAAGAAUGAAGCUCAUGUUCAAGCCUGAAAGUAGAUUUUUGUAAUUGUUUUCAUGAGUUUCUCUGCGACUGACUCUGCAUUUAUUUUUGGCUCCACGCCUCCAGUUUGUGUUUGCUGCUGGAAACCAGUCCUUCCACUUCACCUGCUCUCAGGUGUUUCUGUCGCUGUUCAGCCUCAGGAGUUUCACAUUUUCACAGUUUGUGCUGCUGAAAUCCUGUUAACUCCUUCUUACAGUAAUAUAUCAGCUAGUUUCAGCCAAACCCAAAUAAACCUGUAAGUUCUUUCCAUUGUGAUGGGACUUUACAAUGACUCAGGGAAGCGACUUCCUCAGAGCGAAGCAGCUGAGUCACCUUUAGACAUGUGACAGUGACUGUGUGACCUACAGACACGAGGUCAUAUUUACCAAGGACACUGGUGUUUACUUUGGAACGAGUCCCCGAGUUUAGCUUCUAUAGGAGCAGCUGAUCACAUGAUAGACUUCCACUGAAAAGCACUGAGUGAGAGGAAUGAGCUUUUUCUGUUCAACCAAACUUAUUUUAUUUAUUUAAUGAUUGGCAGCAUAAACACAAGUUUUAAAGUAUUUUGUUUACGUAUAUGUAAGUGUAAACAUAUUAUUUAAAUAAAAUUGGAAGUGUUAUCUCGUCAGUUAUAAUUAUUAACCACAAUUUUACGCUAUCAGUUUAGUUGCUCUACUUGGGUUUUCUUUCGCUGUUUUUGUGUUUUUGUUCGUGUCCAUCAUGAUGCUGCCACCACCGUGCUUCAUGUGAUGAUGCUUGUUUUGGUGUUUUUGUUCCUUUACACUCUAAAAAUUUAUAUUUGGGUUAAAAAAAUUAAAAUAGUGCGAUGACUUGAGGCAUACAUAAGUAUUACGUACCUAAAUAUCAUAAUUAUGAACACAAGUUUUCAAUUUGGAAAACAUUUUUUAAGAAAUAAGCUGCCCCAAUUAGAUUUCCGUUCACCAUUUUUGGGGUUUUGCUCAUGUACACUGUAAAAACUAAAUGAAUAAACAACAGUUUGCAUCAAUCUUUCAGACUAAAGGAGAUUUCUUGUGAAACUGAAUUAAAAGAAUUAGACGUUUUAAUUCAUGACUCAGUGGUUUUUUUAGUUUACUUGAUUAAUGAAUUUGUUCAAAGUAGUAUUUCCAAGUUUUAUUAUUAUCUUACAUUUGAUAUUUUUUUUUCCAUUUGUCAUUAAGGGGUGGGAAUAGGUUGCUUGAAUUACUUUUUAGUGUGAAGUUCGUCCAAAAUCCAUAUCAUUCAAUGAGUUUCUUUUUUUACUUCUAAAAGUACAACUUUUCCAUAAUAAAGUCAUGUUGAUUCCCACUAAGACUGAAGUCACGACUGGAUUAGUCAAACUGGAAACACGGGACAAAAAGGGGAACUUCUCAGUAUCCACGUGUACUGUUGUUCUUUAUUUACUGCAUCUACAGAAAACCACAUGUUGACCGGUUUUAUUCCUUUAUAGCAGUAUUAUGAUACUGUUUAUUACUUUAACUGAGUACACCUUUCAUUACUGAGAGUAAAAUCUUUCUGGAGGGUUUGUGUUGUUCUACUUUUCUCUAUAAAAUAGCCCAAAGGAGUUCGACUAAAAACGUUGCAAAUGGCAACCUGGCGACCGUCUAAAUUGAGCGCUGUGAUUAGUGGAACUAUGACUCCUUCUAGAC